ACCCGUCUUGAAACACGGACCAAGGAGUCUAACAUGUGCGCGAGUUUUUGGGUUGUAAAACCUAGAGGCGCAAUGAAAGUGAAGGUCUCGCCUCGCGCGGACCGAGGGAAGAUGGAGUGCGCGUCAGCGUGUCUCCCGCAUUCCCGGGGCGUCUCGUUCUCAUUGCGAGUUGAGGCGCACCCAGAGCGUACACGUUGGGACCCGAAAGAUGGUGAACUAUGCCUGGCCAGGACGAAGUCAGGGGAAACCCUGAUGGAGGUCCGUAGCGAUUCUGACGUGCAAAUCGAUCGUCGGAGCUGGGUAUAGGNNA
RNAcentral lists this ribosomal RNA (310 nucleotides) under Anostostomatidae gen. A sp. Anost_F2266. Its description in RNAcentral is "eukaryotic LSU rRNA". It matches the Rfam family "Eukaryotic large subunit ribosomal RNA", at positions 647 to 924 of the family's 3401-position model. Lineage: Eukaryota; Metazoa; Arthropoda; Insecta; Orthoptera; Anostostomatidae. The record is from RNAcentral.